AGGGCGCAGGGUGGAUGCCUUGGCACUAAGAGCCGAAGAAAGACGUGAUAAGCUGCGAAAAGCUGCGGUGAGGAGCAAAUAUCCAUUGACCCGCAGAUAUCUGAAUGGGGAAACCCGGCUGAGCAAACCUCAGUCAUCCAUACGCCAAUACAUAACGUAUGGAGGGGAACCCGGGGAACUGAAACAUCUAAGUACCCGGAGGAAGAGAAAGAAACAUCGAUUUCCUAAGUAGCGGCGAGCGAAAGGGAAAGAGCCUAAACCGGAGCGCGUGCGUUCCGGGGUCAUGGACUGCAUAAGUGAGUCAGAAGCUAGAAGAAAGGUUUUGGGAAAGCCUGCCAGAGAGAGUGAAAGCCUCGUAUUUGAAAGCGGAAGACAGCGGCAGUAUCCGGAGUACCACGAGACACGAGAAACCUUGUGGGAAGUCGGGGGGACCACCCCCCAAGGCUAAAUACUACUUAGUGACCGAUAGCGCAUAGUACUGUGAAGGAAAGGUGAAAAGAACCCCGGGAGGGGAGUGAAAGAGAACCUGAAACCCUGUGUCUACAAGCUGUGGAAGCACCCUACGAGUGCAACCGCGUACUUUUUGUAGAACGGUCCGGCGAGUUAUGUGGUGUGGCAAGGUUAAGCACGGAAAGUGUGGAGCCGAAGGGAAACCAAGUCUUAACUGGGCGAUAAAGUCACAUAACAUAGACCCGAAACCGGGUGAUCUAUCCAUGUCCAGGUUGAAGCUGCUGUAAAAGGUGGUGGAGGACCGAACGCACAUCCGUUGAAAAGGGUGGCGAUGAGGUGUGGAUAGGGGAGAAAUUCCAAUCGAACUCGGAGAUAGCUGGUUCUCCUCGAAAUAGUUUUAGGACUAGCCUGUCAGGAGUCUGCUGGAGGUAGAGCACUGAAUUUUUGCGGGGGCGUCAAAGCCUACCAAUGAAUAUCAAACUCCGAAUGCCAGCCAGAUGCUCUGAUGGAGUCAGACUGCACGAGAUAAGUUGGGUAGUCAAAAGGGAAACAGCCCAGACCACCAGCUAAGGUCCCAAAGUGCGUGUUAAGUGGAAAAGGAUGUGGGAAUUCGAAGACAACUAGGAUGUUGGCUCAGAAGCAGCCAUACAUUCAAAGAGUGCGUAACAGCUCACUAGUCGAGAGUUCCUGCGCCGAAAAUGUCCGGGGCUGAAACACGACACCGAAGCCGUGGACUCGCAAUGCGAGUGGUAGAGGAGCAUUCUUAAAACCGACGAAGCUGUACCGGAAGGAGCAGUGGAGGGAUAAGAAGAGAGAAUGCCGGAAUGAGUAGCGAGAGGAAGGUGGGAAUCCUUCCGGCCGAAUAUCUAAGGUUUCCAGAGUAAAGCUGAUCUGCUCUGGGUAAGUCGGGGCCUAAGGAGAGGUCGAAAGACGUAUCCGAUGGACAACAGGUUUAGAUUCCUGUACCACAUAUAAACAGAACUGUGGGGACGCAUGUGGAAAGCAUAAGCCGGGAAUGGAAAUACCGGUACAAGCGGAAGAGGUGUCAGGCUGGCAAAUCCGCCUGGCAAGCCAAAGACGUGAUGUGGAGCGAAAUAAAAGUAGCGAAGUAUGUGAGCCAUGUGCCGAGAAAAGCCGCUAUUGUUUUAUAUGUGCCCGUACCGUAAACCGACACAGGUGGAUGAGGAGAGAAUCCUAAGGCCGACGGAAGAAGCAUUGUUAAGGAACUCGGCAAAAUGACCCCGUAACUUCGGGAGAAGGGGUGCCCUGUGCAAGCAGGGCCGCAGAGAAUAGGCUCAAGCAACUGUUUAGCAAAAACACAGGUCUAUGCGAAACCGAAAGGUGAGGUAUAUGGGCUGACGCCUGCCCGGUGCUGGAAGGUUAAGAGGAGAGGUUAGCGCAAGCGAAGCUUUGAAUUUAAGCCCCAGUAAACGGCGGCCGUAACUAUAACGGUCCUAAGGUAGCGAAAUUCCUUGUCGGGUAAGUUCCGACCCGCACGAAAGGCGUAAUGAUUUGAGCGCUGUCUCGACAAUGCAUCCGGUGAAAUUGAAGUACCAGUGAAGAUGCUGGUUACCCGCGCCAGGACGGAAAGACCCCAUGGAGCUUUACUCCAGCUUGGUACUGGGAUUCGGUAUUGCAUGUACAGGAUAGGUGGGAGACUAUGAAACGGUGACGCCAGUUGCCGCGGAGUCAAUGUUGGGAUACCACCCUUGCAGUAUUGGAUUUCUAACAUGUGCCCGUGAACCGGGCAGUGGACAAUGCCAGGCGGGGAGUUUGACUGGGGGAAUAUAGUUGUUUCAUUCUCUGUCCCAAUAUUAAAACUCUUGGAUAAAUUUUUUAUUUGUAGCAUCUUUUUUUCCUCCUUUUUUUAUAAAUUCUAAAAUAGAGAGAUUAUUAUAACCAAUAAAUAGAAUUACAAUAAUAGCACUGAUAGCCUUUAAAUCUGUAGGAGCAAGUCCUAUUUCUAAUGCUAAUCCACCUAUAAUUUUAUAAGAAAUAGCUCCUAAAAUAGCUCUAGUUGUUCCAUUUAGUUUUUUUGAAUUUUUUAAAAAAGUAUCUCCUAUUAUAAUAGAAGCAAGAGCUGAAACAAUUAUAGAAGCUCCCAUAUUUAUAUCAGCAAAUCCUUGUAAUUGUCCCAUAAGAGCCCCACUUACAGCAACAAUUCCAUUUGAUAACAUAAGUCCUAAUAAUUUGUAAGUAUUACAGUUAACACCUAGGGAUUUAACAAGAGUUUCAUUAUCUCCAGUAGCAAUUAAUAGAUAUCCUCUUUCUGUUUUUAGAAACAUAUCCAUUAGAAAUUUAAUUAAAAGAACGAUUACUAUCAAAAUCAAAAUUAUAUUUCCAUAAUCAAAAAUAGAAGAGUAAUUAUAUAGAGGAAUAUUAGCUUUUCCAU
This 2842-nucleotide ribosomal RNA is filed under the name human gut metagenome. Its description in RNAcentral is "bacterial LSU rRNA". The stretch from base 1 to 2319 matches the Rfam family "Bacterial large subunit ribosomal RNA". The record is from RNAcentral.